This 219-nucleotide unclassified non-coding RNA is filed under the name Hevea brasiliensis (rubber tree). The record is from RNAcentral. Lineage: Eukaryota; Viridiplantae; Streptophyta; Magnoliopsida; Malpighiales; Euphorbiaceae.
AUAGUGGGGAGGGGGAGGUGGUGGAGUUGGCAUCACCCUCGUCUUUGGAGGUUGAAACGGUGGUUAAGGUUUCCACUUCGGUUAAGAAAAGGAAGGAGAAGAAGAUUCAAAAGAUGGAAACUGGAGAUCAAUCCGCUGUUACUGCAAAGCAAGAAGACAAGGUAGAAACAAUCGGAAAAGUGGAGACAAUGGAGAAUGCUGAGGCUGUUCAUACCACAC